UAUGCCCUUUGUCUCUCAUGUGU
RNAcentral lists this non-coding RNA (23 nucleotides) under Drosophila melanogaster (fruit fly). The record is from RNAcentral. Lineage: Eukaryota; Metazoa; Arthropoda; Insecta; Diptera; Drosophilidae.